This 1542-nucleotide ribosomal RNA is filed under the name Tissierellaceae bacterium. Its description in RNAcentral is "partial 23S ribosomal RNA". It matches the Rfam family "Bacterial large subunit ribosomal RNA", at positions 1360 to 2925 of the family's 2925-position model. The record is from RNAcentral. Lineage: Bacteria; Bacillati; Bacillota; Tissierellia; Tissierellales; Tissierellaceae.
UAAAGCUGAUCUGCUCUGGGUAAGUCGGGGCCUAAGGCGAGGUCGAAAGACGUAGUCGAUGGACAACAGGUUGAAAUUCCUGUACCGCAUAUUAUCAGAACUGUGGGGACACAGAACCGAAGAAGAACCCGGGAAUGAAAAGACCGGGGCAAGCACUGGACUGGCUGGAAUGGCAAAUCCACCCAGCAACAGGAAGGUGUGACGCGUACCGAACACAAGUAGGGAAGUCUUCGUAGGGGCUGUCAAGAAAAGCCGCUAUUGUGUAAUAUGUGCCCGUACCGUAAACCGACACAGGUGGAUGAGGAGAGAAUCCUAAGGCCGGCGGGAGAAGCAUUGUUAAGGAACUCGGCAAAAUGACCCCGUAACUUCGGGAUAAGGGGUGCCUGGGAAACCAGGCCGCAGAGAAUAGGCUCAAGCAACUGUUUAGCAAAAACACAGGUCUAUGCAAAACCGAAAGGUGAGGUAUAUGGGCUGACGCCUGCCCGGUGCUGGAAGGUUACGAGGAGGGGUUAGCGGCAACGCGAAGCUCUGAAUUUAAGCCCCAGUAAACGGCGGCCGUAACUAUAACGGUCCUAAGGUAGCGAAAUUCCUUGUCGGGUAAGUUCCGACCCGCACGAAAGGCGUAAUGAUUUGAGCGCUGUCUCAACAAUGCACCCGGUGAAAUUGAAGUACCAGUGAAGAUGCUGGUUACCUGCGCCAGGACGGAAAGACCCCAUGGAGCUUUACUCCAGCUUGAUACUGGGAUUCGGUACUGCAUGUACAGGAUAGGUGGGAGGCUAUGAAGAUAGGACGCCAGUCUUAUCAGAGCCGAUGUUGGGAUACCACCCUUGCGGUAUUGGAUUUCUAACCUGCAGCCAUAACCUGGCUGGGGGACAAUGUCAGGCGGGGAGUUUGACUGGGGCGGUCGCCUCCGAAAGGGUAUCGGAGGCGCUCAAAGGUUCCCUCAGAAUGGACGGAAACCAUUCGAAGAGUGCAAAGGCAUAAGGGAGCUUGACUGCGACACCGACGGGUGGAGCAGGUAGGAAACUAGGACUUAGUGAUCCGGUGGUAUAAAGUGGGAUUGCCAUCGCUCAACGGAUAAAAGCUACCCUGGGGAUAACAGGCUUAUCACUCCCAAGAGUUCACAUCGACGGAGUGGUUUGGCACCUCGAUGUCGGCUCAUCGCAUCCUGGGGCUGUAGUAGGUCCCAAGGGUUGGGCUGUUCGCCCAUUAAAGCGGUACGCGAGCUGGGUUCAGAACGUCGUGAGACAGUUCGGUCCCUAUCCGGCGUGGGCGUAGGAUAUUUGAGAGGAGCUGUCCUUAGUACGAGAGGACCGGGAUGGACUGACCUCUGGUGUAUCUGUUGGCUAUCAAAGCCAUGGCAGAGUAGCCAAGUCGGGAAGGGAUAAACGCUGAAGGCAUCUAAGCGUGAAGCCCCCCUCAAGAUGAGAUAUCCCAUCGCAAGAGUAAGACCCCUUGAAGACGACGAGGUAGAUAGGGCAGAGGUGGAAGCAUGGCAACAUGUGCAGCUGACUGUCACUAAUAGGUCGAGGGCUUAACCAG